This 253-nucleotide ribosomal RNA is filed under the name uncultured bacterium. RNAcentral's name for it is "partial 16S ribosomal RNA". It matches the Rfam family "Bacterial small subunit ribosomal RNA", at positions 524 to 776 of the family's 1533-position model. The record is from RNAcentral.
UACGAGGGGGGCGAGCGUUGUUCGGAAUUAUUGGGCGUAAAGGGUGCGUAGGCGGUUCCGCAAGUCCUGUGUGAAAUCUUCGGGCUCAACUCGAAGUCUGCACGGGAAACUGCCGGGCUUGAGUAUGGGAGAGGUGAGUGGAAUUCCUGGUGUAGCGGUGAAAUGCGUAGAUAUCAGGAGGAACACCUGUGGCGAAAGCGGCUCACUGGACCAUAACUGACGCUGAUGCACGAAAGCUAGGAGAGCAAACAGG